RNAcentral lists this ribosomal RNA (333 nucleotides) under Triticum aestivum (bread wheat). RNAcentral describes it as "partial small subunit ribosomal RNA". The record is from RNAcentral. Lineage: Eukaryota; Viridiplantae; Streptophyta; Magnoliopsida; Poales; Poaceae.
AUGCGCACCAUCAUCCGUUUGCACCCGGUGGUUCCGCUGCUUGUGCCUCGGGAGUCCAUUGUCGCAUGCACCCUUGGCGGCUAUGACAUCCCGGCCAAGACCCGCAUCUUUAUCAACACUUUUGCCAUGGGCCAGGACCCGGAGAUUUGGGAGGACCCGCUAGAGUACUGGCCAGAACGGUUCGAGAUCGCCGGCGGCGAGAUCAACCUCAAGGAUCGGGACUAUAAACUGAUGCCGUUUGGCGGUGGUCGGCGAGGGUGCCCACUGCCCAGGCUACACGUUCGCACUGCCCACUGUGCAGUUAACGCUGGCCAAACUGAUGUAUCACUUUAA